Molecule: long non-coding RNA, 1169 nt
Filed under: Dermacentor andersoni
Lineage: Eukaryota; Metazoa; Arthropoda; Arachnida; Ixodida; Ixodidae
Description: uncharacterized LOC126521271
Source: RNAcentral
AAGUGUAAUUUUUCUUCUAUAAAUGCAAGCUUUCUCAUUGCCCAUUUUUGUUAGAGAUCAUUCAUCCUCAUCCAAAUAUAAAGGUCAACCAAUUCUUCGCUGAUACUUAAUACCAGUCACUGUCUAGCAGCCUAACAUAUCUGUAGCAGUAUCUUCUAGUGUAUGUUGUCAUGCGCAAUUCCUCUCCUGAAAUAGCUGAUGUAGCAUCGGCAUGCGUCUUGCAUUAACCUAUGCACAUGUGCUAUGCACCAUUUUACUUUUCUUGAUGUUUUUAGCCUUCAAUGCUUGCAGAGCAGAGUGGCUUCUCUCUUGAAUGCAAGCUUUCUCAUUUUCCAUAUUCCUAGUCUCGUUGAUGAUUGCUCCUCUUCCUUGAUAGCCUGGGUCUUUGUGCAAGCUACACUGAAGUGAUUGAUUGCAGAAUCUGGUUUUGCUGUCACACUUGGUUGUGGUAACUGUGUUACGUUUCUCAGAUGUGGGGGCCUGGUCAGUUGCAUUGGGAAGCAGCCUCUCGUAGUAAGCAUUUGAUCCUGCAGUCUGCACAGCGACAUAGACUCCCAAUUUACGCACACCGUGAUUCGUGCUCCCCGUUCACCCUUUCCUGCUGCAGCCAUGGGCAAAUUGUGCCUCUGGCCUUUCUCGGCCGCGAUUAGGCAUGAACGGAGACCAGCAUAAGUGCUUACAUGGCCGGACGUGUAUGAAGUUGGGUGGAAAGGCCCGCAAAAGUAGCUGAUGGAGGCGAUGCCCACGAAAGCGACUUGUCCAUAGUGAGACAAUGUGAGACACCAAGUGUGAGCCACACAUUAGCGGCCCCCGAAAGAAAAGAAACGUGCAGGUUGGAAAGGAGUGAACGGCUAAAAUCUGGGGUAGCCCAUGUCGCUGUGUAGGCUGCGGCAGCAGAUGCCUGCGUCUCCCGAUUGCUUCGCAAUGCAAUUUGGGCAUUUUUAACGGCGACUGUCGCUGCAAACAAGUGGCAUACUCUGUCCAAUAUGUUUCCGCUGCUGGUUGUUGCUCGUUAACCUGACCACCACGUUCGACGACGACGGUGAGCCGUUUACGAGCUCGCGUCAAUGAUUCCAGCGUAUCUCGACAUGCAAAUUUUAUUUCUGCUAUUGCACGAGAAUGUACACUGCUUGUCUUCUGGCAAUAAAGUCGCGCGUUCUGUUCACUCA